Molecule: small RNA, 76 nt
Filed under: Salmonella enterica subsp. enterica serovar Heidelberg str. SL486
Lineage: Bacteria; Pseudomonadati; Pseudomonadota; Gammaproteobacteria; Enterobacterales; Enterobacteriaceae
Also listed under: 1 other name
Description: suhB
Source: RNAcentral
GACUCGUUCUGGUUAUUGGAGAAUCAUCCCUUGAUAGUCUUGCCGCUCUAUAUGGGCGGCAUUCUUUUUGCCUGGA